GCAGCCUUCAAUUCAUUUAAUUCACUGGAAAACCAUACGAUCCAUCAUAAAUUCCUCAUCAAUAGCACCUUAGUACAUACGAUUGAAGAGUCCCAAACCACCGCCACCCUCCUUUCCGGUUUUGUCUCCGCAAUUUGUUCCCCCCAUCACCGCGUCUCGAAUAGUCGCCACCGGUGCUGUGCUACACAUCCACCGCUUCCUGGUUUUUGCCUCUGCUCGUUGGUGUCGCAAACAGGCCAUCUCAAGUAUUCAUUGGCAUCCGAUUUGUUCUUCUUGGUUACGAUCCUCUAAAAAACUCACAGGUUUCACUGAAGUUUGUUAAUGGCGGAGCUAUUAAUGUCGGUAAAUACGGUCCGAAUUGCACUCAUGUUAUUCUUGAUAAGCUUGUUUGGGUUUUAAAAUUUUCAUUUGUGGUACCAAAUAAUUGGGUUUCUGCAUGUUCAGGUCUACUCUGUCUUAUAUCAAAAACCCAUUUUCUGUUUUAAUUCCCAUGUGUAUUAAUCUUUGUACUCAAAUUGUACCAUAAAGAACAGAUUUGUGAUUUUAAUCGACAUAUAUGGCGAAAAAGUAAGCAGCAAUCAAAAUCAAUUUAUUCUUCGAUCACCGUCUAUUAAGAGGAAACGAACGGACGAAUGAACAGAGCAAACACGCAUAUUCGGUUGCGUAUGCGACCGUUGUGGCGGCAGAAGUAGCGGUGGUAGCCGCCCAUGCUGCCGCUGAAGUCGUUCGCUUGACGUCCAUUGCGCAUCCGUCGAGUAAAUCCGCAGAAGAAAUGGUUGCUACCAAGAUUCAAACAGCUUAUCGCAGGCACUUGGGCGUUGCGUGCUCUUAG
This 832-nucleotide long non-coding RNA is filed under the name Helianthus annuus (common sunflower). Its description in RNAcentral is "hypothetical non coding rna". The record is from RNAcentral. Lineage: Eukaryota; Viridiplantae; Streptophyta; Magnoliopsida; Asterales; Asteraceae.